AUACGUAGGUGACAAGCGUUAUCCGGAUUUACUGGGCGUAAAGGGCGUGUAGGCGGUCUUGCAAGUCAGAAGUGAAAUUCCUGAGCUCAACUCGGGCGCUGCUUCUGAAACUGCAGGACUUGAGUGCUGGAGGGGAUAGCGGAAUUCCUAGUGGAGCGGUAAAAUGCGCAGAUAUUAGGAAGAACACCGGUGGCGAAGGCGGCUAUCUGGACAGUAACUUGCGCUGAGGCGCGAAAGCGUGGGGAGCAAACAGGAUUAGAUUCCCUGGUAGUCCACGCUGUAAACGAUGAUUACUAUGUGUUGGGGACCUAUAGUUCUUCGGUGCCGCAGCAAACGCAAUAAGUAAUCCGCCUGGGGAGUACGUUCGCAAGAAUG
Molecule: ribosomal RNA, 375 nt
Filed under: uncultured bacterium
Lineage: Bacteria
Description: partial 16S ribosomal RNA
Rfam family: Bacterial small subunit ribosomal RNA
Source: RNAcentral